RNAcentral lists this ribosomal RNA (497 nucleotides) under uncultured bacterium. RNAcentral's name for it is "partial 16S ribosomal RNA". It matches the Rfam family "Bacterial small subunit ribosomal RNA", at positions 28 to 507 of the family's 1533-position model. The record is from RNAcentral.
GAUGAACGCUGGCGGCGUGCCUAAUACAUGCAAGUCGAGCGAACAGACGAGGAGCUUGCUCCUCUGACGUUAGCGGCGGACGGGUGAGUAACACGUGGAUAACCUACCUAUAAGACUGGGAUAACUUCGGGAAACCGGAGCUAAUACCGGAUAAUAUAUUGAACCGCAUGGUUCAAUAGUGAAAGACGGUUUUGCUGUCACUUAUAGAUGGAUCCGCGCCGCAUUAGCUAGUUGGUAAGGUAACGGCUUACCAAGGCCACGAUGCGUAGCCGACCUGAGAGGGUGAUCGGCCACACUGGAACGGAGACACGGUCCAGACUCCUACGGGAGGCAGCAGUAGGGAAUCUUCCGCAAUGGGCGAAAGCCUGACGGAGCAACGCCGCGUGAGUGAUGAAGGUCUUCGGAUCGUAAAACUCUGUUAUUAGGGAAGAACAAAUGUGUAAGUAACUAUGCACGUCUUGACGGUACCUAAUCAGAAAGCCACGGCUAACUACGUG